GAUGAACGCUGGCGGCGUGCCUAAUACAUGCAAGUCGAGCGAACGGACGAGAAGCUUGCUUCUCUGAUGUUAGCGGCGGACGGGUGAGUAACACGUGGAUAACCUACCUAUAAGACGGGGAUAACUUCGGGAGACCGGAGCUAAUACCGGAUAAUAUUUUGAACCGCAUGGUUCAAAAGUGAAAGACGGUUUUGCUGUUACUGAUAGAUGGAUCCGCGCUGCAUUAGCUAGUUGGUAAGGUAACGGCUUACCAAGGCAACGAUGCUUAGCCGAACUGAGAGGGGGAUCCGGCACCCCGGAACUGGGACCAGGUCCAGACUCCUACGGGAGGCAGCAGUAGGGAAUUGUUCCCAAUGGGCGAAAGCCCGAGCGAGCCACACCGAGUGGGUGAAGAAGGACUUCGGGUUCUAAAACCCUUUUUUUUGGGAAGAAAAGAAGCAGUAUAAAACCUCGCCGAUUUGACGGUACCUAAUCAAAAAGCCACGGCUAACUACGUG
RNAcentral lists this ribosomal RNA (497 nucleotides) under uncultured bacterium. Its description in RNAcentral is "partial 16S ribosomal RNA". It matches the Rfam family "Bacterial small subunit ribosomal RNA", at positions 28 to 507 of the family's 1533-position model. The record is from RNAcentral.